RNAcentral lists this ribosomal RNA (433 nucleotides) under uncultured bacterium. RNAcentral describes it as "partial 16S ribosomal RNA". It matches the Rfam family "Bacterial small subunit ribosomal RNA", at positions 29 to 507 of the family's 1533-position model. The record is from RNAcentral.
AACGAACGCUGGCGGCAUGCCUAACACAUGCAAGUCGAACGAGACCUUCGGGUCUAGUGGCGCACGGGUUCGUAACGCGUGGGAACCUGCCCUUAGGUUCGGAAUAACUCCCCGAAAGGGGUGCUAAUACCGGAUAAUGUCUUCGGACCAAAGAUUUAUCGCCUUUGGAUGGGCCCGCGUUGGAUUAGCUAGUUGGUAGGGUAAAAGCCUACCAAGGCGACGAUCCAUAGCUGGUCUGAGAGGAUGAUCAGCCACACUGGGACUGAGACACGGCCCAGACUCCUACGGGAGGCAGCAGUGGGGAAUAUUGGACAAUGGGCGAAAGCCUGAUCCAGCAAUGCCGCGUGAGUGAUGAAGGCCUUAGGGUUGUAAAGCUCUUUUACCCGGGAUGAUAAUGACAGUACCAGGAGAAUAAGCUCCGGCUAACUCCGUG